CGGAGGGUGCAAGCGUUAUCCGGAUUCACUGGGUUUAAAGGGUGCGUAGGCGGGCAGGUAAGUCAGUGGUGAAAUCCCCGAGCUUAACUUGGGAACUGCCGUUGAUACUAUCUGUCUUGAAUGCCGUGGAGGUAAGCGGAAUAUGUCAUGUAGCGGUGAAAUGCUUAGAUAUGACAUAGAACACCAAUUGCGAAGGCAGCUUGCUACACGGUUAUUGACGCUGAUGCACGAAAGCGUGGGGAUCAAACAGGAUUAGAUACCCUGGUAGUCCACGCCCUAAACGAUGGAUACUCGACAUCAGCGAUACACUGUUGGUGUCUGAGCGAAAGCAUUAAGUAUCCCACCUGGGAAGUACGACCGCAAGGUUG
RNAcentral lists this ribosomal RNA (368 nucleotides) under uncultured organism. Its description in RNAcentral is "bacterial SSU rRNA". It matches the Rfam family "Bacterial small subunit ribosomal RNA", at positions 526 to 896 of the family's 1533-position model. The record is from RNAcentral.